This 406-nucleotide ribosomal RNA is filed under the name uncultured bacterium. RNAcentral's name for it is "partial 16S ribosomal RNA". It matches the Rfam family "Bacterial small subunit ribosomal RNA", at positions 30 to 526 of the family's 1533-position model. The record is from RNAcentral.
AUUGAACGCUGGCGGCAGGCCUAACACAUGCAAGUCGAACGAGUGGCGGACGGGUGAGUAAUGUCUGGGAAACUGCCUGAUGGAGGGGGAUAACUACUGGAAAAGGUAGCUAAUAGCGCAUACCAUCGGAUGUGCCCAGAUGGGAUUAGCUAGUAGGUGGGGUAACGGCUCACCAAGGCGACGAUCCCUAGCUGGUCUGAGAGGAGGACCGGCCACACUGGAACUGAGACACGGUCCAGACUCCUACGGGAGGCAGCAGUGGGGAAUAUUUCGCAAUGGGCGCAAGCCUGAUGCAGCCACGCCGCGUGUGUGAAGAAGGCCUUCGGGUUGUAAAGUACUUUCAUCGGGGAGGCGUUACCUGCAGAAGAAGCACCGGCUAACUCCGUGCCAGCAGCCGCGGUAAUUC